This 89-nucleotide non-coding RNA is filed under the name Acinetobacter populi. The record is from RNAcentral. Lineage: Bacteria; Pseudomonadati; Pseudomonadota; Gammaproteobacteria; Moraxellales; Moraxellaceae.
UGUUAUGGCGAAGCUGGAGAGGGACACGUUUACGUGUGCUGGUAACCUUGUAGACCAGUCGACCAACCCUUUUCAGCUUUGCCACCUAA